AAAUUUUUUUUAAUGCUAAUUUAUUACAAAUAACGUAGAGAUUUUAUAUAAUAAAUGUUAUACAAUAAUAUCUCGAGAAAAAAUAAACAUUAAUAUUUCUAUCAAUACAGAAUAACGAUACUGAUACCUCUUAAGGAUCAGUUACGGAAUCGCUACAGACCAGAUAAAUCGUAACGCACAUCCCUAGGUCUCCAUUGUAAACAUACUGCUGUGCGAUGGAAGUGUCAAAUACAAAGCAAUCAGAAUUCAAAAUCGUGGACGAUACACCCUCAUGAAUAGAACGUGAUAUACCUUCAUAUGUGUGGCAUGUUGUAAGCCCAAUUAGCUCUAAUCUGUUGGACGCAACAGUUGAAUUAAAAUAAAAGAUAUUUAUACACAAGAGGAAAGAGUGAAAAAUUAUUAACCCUCUGUCUGCAAUCUAGAUCUUUCUUUAGCAAAGCAAAAUGUCAACUUUUAUAUAAAAGUUUUAACAUUUGAAUUAAAACUUGGUAAUAAAGAGAUUGAAAAGAAAUCUUGAGCUUUUCUAAAUUAUUCAAAAACCAAAAACAGUGAAAAAAAUAUAACUACAGAAAAGACCCAGCUUUACAGAUAAAGAAAGUAAAAAUAUGCAGACGAAAGGCUAAUAAUUUGCUUAAAUUAAAAAAAAUACUUUUAGGCAAAUAACACAACUACAUAUUUAAAUUAACCUGUAAGCAAAGUGUUUUGCUCGCUUCCUAGAGCCAAUCAAUUGUACCAUCGCAAAGAACUGUUCAGACCCAUCAGAUUUCUCCUGUUUCUCGAGCACCAGCAUAAAAUGAUGGCCAAAACAAGAUUGUAUCAUGAUCCAGUCCCUGGUUCCAGGAAAAUUAAUGUUGCUUGCCAAAAAAAUAAUUUCAUCGCCUAGAGAAAAUUACACAGAGGACAAUAUAAGUAUAAAGAAAUAAACUACAACUGCGAUUAAACAGCAAAAAUUCAAUACCUCGUAAUGUAAUUCUUUUGUGACUUGUAACAAGGUGUGGCAUCACUUGUUCCAGCGAUCCUUGCCAUUUGCAGGACACGCCUGGACAGGGACAGCUGUAUGGACAGAACUCACACGCAUUUUCAUGAUCUUCCUUUUCCGUGUGCACCAGGACAACUGUGCAACCACUGGUGGAAUAUUUGCAUGGAAACAUGACAUUACUUAUCAUCUUUUCCAUAGCCAAAUUACGGAUGUUACCUACGUUGACCAAAUGUUAUCUGGUUAAAUGCAAUCUCAACAGCAAAGAAAAAUAAAUUUCUUGAGAAAAUCUGAACGUACCCAGUGGACCCCUGCAUGUGGGGCAGCAGGAGAGCUUCGGUAUACAAUUUGUGCAGACUAGAUGUCCACUCUGACACUGCAGAAUAGGUGGAAGCGCAUAAUCGUGGCAAACGGGACAUUCGAAGAGGCUUGCUAAGUCGGUGGAACUGCUCAGGGCGGACACGGUCGACGCGGAAGUGCUUGCGACUCCUUGUCCUCGCUUGUCCGUAUUGAUGUUUAGUUGAGACAUUUUGUUCUUUAGAUUAUGUAUUGAAGAUUGUCACACACACUCUGAUCCGAACGAUAAUCUGUUUUUCAAACUGUCUCAGCGAUGCAUUUCUGUUGGUAGCUAGCUUCUAGCUAAUUCACUUCUCUGCAAACUUGCAAUGUUCAUAUAAGAUAUAACGUAUAUAUAAGAUAUUGCAUCGACUCGACAUCUCGUUUAAUUUUGAAGUACUCGCAAAAACGAAAUUAUAUAUGUUAAUACAUGCUUUUCUUCUCUUUUUGUCUACAGGUAUUUAUCUCUUUUUCUUAUAAAUGUACAUGGAAUAAACUACAAAUUUUGCCUGGCUACUUUUAAGUUUUUAAUCUUAAUAAUUAAACAGUAAAAAACUUUCUAUUAAAAUAGAAUAUUAAUGUAUCACUAUUAAUGUGAAGUACAAAAGCUCUAGAUAUUUUUUUUAAACUGCAAUCUCUGUAUAUAUAUUUUUUUAUGCGCUCUAUCAUUGUAAUUAAAAAAAGUUAUGAGAUACGAUUCUGUGAGUUAUGCCAAAAUUUUGUCUGUACAAUUAUCUAAAGACCUUAAUUUAGAGUAGUCUAAAAAUUUUGUAUUAUUACACAAAUUUUUAAAUUGUCCAAGGUUUAAUAAACUCCACACAUCUAAUUGUGCUUUUUUCGAUCUUUGUUCUAAGCUCUAAACAUUGCAGUUGAGAUCUACAGGUCUAGUUCUGAGAUAAUUAAAAGUUAAACCGAGGUGAAUCUCAUCUCGGAUUAAAUUUUAUUUUAAUCUGCAUUAGAAUUUAGAGCUCAAAACAAAAAAAUAAAGAAAACAACAUCACGCAUAUCUAGAACCUAAACCUAAACCUAAACAAUUGACGAUAAUCACCAACUGGUAUUAUGCAAAACAAGCCGCGACAUGCGGUUUUUUCCCUUCUUACAACUUUACGCGUUGUGAAAAGAAGAAACAGGAAUUUGCCGCGCUCGUCAUCAGAAACUUACCGAUUGCGUGGGCGAUUAGCAAGCCUCAAGGACAAAUACACGCAGUGACGAUCGUCUGCGUUCAAAGCAGCUUUGCAACUGUUGUAAAAUUCUUCAACACGAUUGAUUCUUGCUCUUGGUUCCUGUUAGAUCACGGCAUCGAUCAUGUAAUUUCACGUGAAACUUUCCACUUUUCAUUUUCCGCUCAGUCUCAUUUCACGUGAACUUUUUCAGGAACCUAAAUAUGAAUACCGGCCUUGGCUCACUUUCAGUGCUGGCACUGUUGGCAUUCCUCUUCCGUAUAUAAUAGAGUAUAUAUACUUAAAAGAGAAAUCCCACGAUCUAGAAACACUGGCUACCGGGAUUAAUAAUUGAUAAUUUUGUAUUGAUAUAGCAGAAUCUGCGAUCCUUGUUGCUGACUACACUUUGGUUUUGGCAUUCCUUGUACGUUCUCUUUUAUUUGGUACAAAGAAGAUAAGAGUUUUUUAAUAAAGAAAUCCGUAAUAAAAUUUAUUUAGUUUUGCACGCAUAAGAUUAAUUUAACGGGAGCGCCCCGAUUGACCACGUCCCAAUUGACCACAACUUUUCUAAUUGGUGGUUCAACAGAAAAACUCAUAGCAUUCAUUGUUAAAAAUAAUGUGGUCAAUUGUAACGUGAUCAAUCGGGGCGCUUCUAAUUUAACUUAAAUUAGAGUAAAAGUUAAUUUUCAGAAGUUGCAUUUAUGUUAAAUUAAAAAGCUAUAUAAUCUAUUAGAUCAAUGUAAGACAUGAUCUGCACAUUUCGAUCAAAUUCCGAACCCAACGCUUAUUACUUUCCCUAUUGUCAUGAAAUUUCAGUUUGACAAUCAUAACAUAAACACGGCGCGCAUUGCUCUCCCACUAUACAAAAUAACGUAUUAAUAUGUUUCAUUAAUAUUGCUAAUUUAGUAUUUGUUACUACAUAUAUAAACAUUUAAUAACAACAUGUUUGAUAAAUGUUGUUAAAUGACUUAAUUUAAUUUUAUGAGGUACUUAGUGUACAUUACUAUUAAGUUUAGUUUAGCUA
RNAcentral lists this long non-coding RNA (3496 nucleotides) under Monomorium pharaonis (pharaoh ant). Its description in RNAcentral is "uncharacterized LOC118648553". Lineage: Eukaryota; Metazoa; Arthropoda; Insecta; Hymenoptera; Formicidae. The record is from RNAcentral.